CCUACGGGAGGCAGCAGUGAGGAAUAUUGGUCAAUGGGCGCGAGCCUGAACCAGCCAAGUCGCGUGAGGGAAGACGGUCCUAUGGAUUGUAAACCUCUUUUGUCGGGGAGCAAAAGACGCCACGCGUGGCGUUCCGUGAGUACCCGAACAAAAAGCAUCGGCAAACUCCGUGCCAGCAGCCGCGGUAAUACGGAGGAUGAGGGCGUUACCCGGAUUUAUUGGGGUUAAAGGGGUCGCAGGGGGAAUAUCAAGGCAGCGGUAAAAUUUGGAGGCUCAACCUCGUCGAGCCGUUGAAACUGGUUUGCUUGAGUAGGCGAGGAGUAGGCGGAAUGCGUGGUGUAGCGGUGAAAUGCAUAGAUAUUACGAAGAACUCCGGUUGCGAAGGCAGCAUACCGGCGCUCAACUGACGCUCAUGCACGAAAGUGUGGGGAUCGAACAGGAUUAGAUACCCUAGUAGUC
This 459-nucleotide ribosomal RNA is filed under the name uncultured bacterium. Its description in RNAcentral is "partial 16S ribosomal RNA". It matches the Rfam family "Bacterial small subunit ribosomal RNA", at positions 338 to 795 of the family's 1533-position model. The record is from RNAcentral.